This 462-nucleotide ribosomal RNA is filed under the name Streptococcus mitis. RNAcentral describes it as "bacterial SSU rRNA". It matches the Rfam family "Bacterial small subunit ribosomal RNA", at positions 28 to 474 of the family's 1533-position model. The record is from RNAcentral. Lineage: Bacteria; Bacillati; Bacillota; Bacilli; Lactobacillales; Streptococcaceae.
GACGAACGCUGGCGGCGUGCCUAAUACAUGCAAGUAGAACGCUGAAGGAGGAGCUUGCUUCUCUGGAUGAGUUGCGAACGGGUGAGUAACGCGUAGGUAACCUGCCUGGUAGCGGGGGAUAACUAUUGGAAACGAUAGCUAAUACCGCAUAAUAGUAGAUGUUGCAUGACAUUUGCUUAAAAGGUGCAAUUGCAUCACUACCAGAUGGACCUGCGUUGUAUUAGCUAGUUGGUGGGGUAACGGCUCACCAAGGCGACGAUACAUAGCCGACCUGAGAGGGUGAUCGGCCACACUGGGACUGAGACACGGCCCAGACUCCUACGGGAGGCAGCAGUAGGGAAUCUUCGGCAAUGGACGGAAGUCUGACCGAGCAACGCCGCGUGAGUGAAGAAGGUUUUCGGAUCGUAAAGCUCUGUUGUAAGAGAAGAACGAGUGUGAGAGUGGAAAGUUCACACUGUGACG